GGGUGGGGGAGGGGCUCCGGUGCUUUGGCAGACAUCAAACUUCAGUGUCGGAAAGAGACCCUGCUACUUGUCCCCUACCCCACCCCCACCCACCCCACCCCACUUACCCUACCACCCAACAAACAGAAAUCAAAGAAGCUGUGUGGGAGUUAUGGUGGAAGCAUAACAGCAGUGAAAUUGAUUGAAUAGGUUCAAGUGGUUCUGCAGGUCUAGGUAGAUGGCGUGGACGGAAAAAGAUGUCGAGAAUGGAAAGGAAAGUGAGUCACUUGGUAACAAUGGUUUUCUGAAGGGAGGACAAUCUUCUUCUGGUUCCAAAGGUUCUCCUGGUAGAAUAAGUCAUGUAAAGAAGAUUUUUGAAGACAAGGAUGCCAUCACUUAUGCAAAUAUUCUUCGCUCUAGGAACAAGUUUGUUGAUGCACUUGCAAUCUAUGAGAGUGUGUUGGAGAAGGAUAGCAAGAGUAUUGAGUCUCUGAUUGGCAAAGGUAUUUGCCUGCAGAUGCAAAAUACGGGGAGGCUUGCUUUUGAAAGUUUUUCUGAAGCUAUCAAAGUGGACCCACAAAAUGCAUGUGCCCUCACCCAUUGCGGAAUUUUGUACAAAGAUGAGGGUCGCCUGGUCGAGGCUGCUGAGUCCUAUGAGAAAGCACUUAAAGCUGACCCCUCAUAUACACCAGCAGCAGAAUGCCUUGCGAUUGUAUUGACUGAUAUUGGAACCAGCCUGAAGCUUGCUGGCAACACUCAGGAGGGAAUUCAAAAAUACUAUGAAGCUAUCAAAAUUGAUUCACACUAUGCGCCUGCUUACUAUAACCUUGGCGUUGUAUAUUCAGAAAUGAUGCAAUACGAUAUGGCUCUUAAUUGCUAUGAGAAG
RNAcentral lists this unclassified non-coding RNA (865 nucleotides) under Hevea brasiliensis (rubber tree). The record is from RNAcentral. Lineage: Eukaryota; Viridiplantae; Streptophyta; Magnoliopsida; Malpighiales; Euphorbiaceae.